GGUCUUAUAUUCAAAUAUGAUUUUAAAUUGCAAAUUUAAGGGUGAUAAAUAUCUAAGGCUU
RNAcentral lists this transfer RNA (61 nucleotides) under Tettigometridae sp. Its description in RNAcentral is "tRNA-Cys". Lineage: Eukaryota; Metazoa; Arthropoda; Insecta; Hemiptera; Tettigometridae. The record is from RNAcentral.